AAGUCGUAACAAGGUCUCCGUUGGUGAACCAGCGGAGGGAUCAUUACAGAGUUAUAACAAACUCCCAAAACCAUUGUGAACUUACCUAUGUUGCCUCGGCGGGGAAACCUACCCGGUACCGGACAGGUCAACUACCCUGUAGUUACCCUGUACUUACCCUGUAGCCGGAAGCACCCUACCCUGUAGGGCGCUGCAGGUCGUGUACCCGCCGAAGGACCAUCUUCAAACUCUUGUUUUUAUGUGAGAACUCUGAGUUAUUAUAUUUAAUAAGUUAAAACUUUCAACAACGGAUCUCUUGGCUCUG
This 304-nucleotide unclassified non-coding RNA is filed under the name air metagenome. RNAcentral describes it as "partial contains small subunit ribosomal RNA, internal transcribed spacer 1, and 5.8S ribosomal RNA". The stretch from base 1 to 46 matches the Rfam family "Eukaryotic small subunit ribosomal RNA", at positions 1786 to 1831 of the family's 1831-position model. The record is from RNAcentral.